UGGAGGAGAGGCUUGGGGGAACAAAAACGGUAACAUAGCAAGGAAGAACUGAAGGACAUGGGGUGGGUGGAUACAGAGGAAGCUGGGGGACCGGCAGUUGCUAACUGCUUGGCCUGCUGAUGCCGAGAGCAUGGGUGGAAAAGACUCCAGGGGAGAGGUCAGGAACCAAGGCAACCAGGAGGUUGUGUGGUCCUCCGAGUAGCUCCCAACACUGCUCAUGGAGGUGUGAAUAGGGAGGGCAAGAGAGAGGCAUUCACUCUUCACCCCAACCCUGUCAUGGCUCACACAGGAAGCGAUGGGAGAGCAGAACAGGACGGAAUGGAAGGCUUAGUUGCAGCCCUGCCCAGCCACCAGACCAGGCUCAGCCAGGAAGAAUCGCUAAUUACAGCCAUGGCGAAGAAAUAUCAAUGAGAGCGGCAACACCCUGGUACCUGCCUGUUUGAGAUGAAGAGAUGGAUGUGGCCAUCUCUCCAGGACACGGGUUGGAUGACAGAUCUGAACUGUGGGUGUUGGAGACGGGUCUCAGCUGAAUGAUGGCUGACAGCUGGGACCAGGGUGGAUCACGAGUGGCUGAUGCUCUGACCUUCCGGAGACCAGACACACACCAGGCAUCCUGGUACUGCCUGUAGCAAGUGCCUAAUAGAUGCCAGCUCCCUCGCUGAGCCCCACCCUUCCCCCCACCUUCCCUCCUGCGGUGGUCCAAUCACCUUCCUCUCCUGAUAGAGCCAGGGGAGGCUAUGAACUGCCAGCUGCACUCCCCAGCCUUUCUUAACCCAGAUACACCUCCCCAGGCGCCACUCAGUACCCUCUGCCGGCUGCCAGCUAACCCCUCAGAGGUGUUAACUGAUAAUGAAGACGUUAGCUGUAAGCUGAAGUGAGGUUCCCUGCCAGGAGUAUUUUGGUCUUUCCGGGUUGGUUUUGGAAAUGGGAAAACCUUCCCAACCCAGCCAAAUGGUAGACAGGGAUGCGGGCGAUGGGGGGUGUAGGGGACAGUUGGUGCUGGAGCCUUCCACCUCUCUGAGAGGAACAGAAUAUAGGCCUCCUAGUUUUAGAAGCACCCCAAGAAGGUGAGCCUACUAGCUGAGGUAUGAAGCAUCUUUGAGCCUCAGUUUCCUUGUGUGCAGAUGAAGAAAUAGCAUAGCAGCCUCACAAAAUUGUGUUGCCAAAUGACCUCAGUGAAGCUAAGGGUGUGUGCUGGGCACAAAGGAGCAAGCGUGUUGGCCCUGACCCCCUUCUCCCUUUUCUGUCCUAUCAGCCUCCCCAGCCCUUGCGCGUCACAGAGUCCCCAUCAACCACUGAGUCUAUUGUCCUAAUUUCCAAAGGCUCUUCCCAGACAAAGUCAACAGGAUGGUAGCGGGAUGGAUGCGAGGAAACUCCGCGGACAUUUGGACAUCAGCGGAGGCUGAGGAUUGCAGCUCAGGAGGAAAGCGCUUUCCUCACUGACUGGCCUCCUGUUGUAUGUCCCCCACAUACUGAGCAUGGUUUCCAGGAAGUGGAGAAAUUUGGGGGAGUUGAGGGACCCUUGGGAGGUGCAGCCUUAUUGGGUGGAGAAUGGCACUGGGCAAGCUUUUAGGGUUGUAGCCUCAUCCUACUUCCUCUCUCUGUUUCCUGUGAGUGAUUGACCUGUGAGCUCUCAUUUCCAGUUCCUGCUGCCAUGCUGGGUCUGGGCCUAUCUGUUGUCAUGGUGUCCCAAGAUUUUGGACUCUUCCUUGGGAACCAUAAGCCCACAUAAACCCCUCCUUCUGUGAGCUGUUUGUGGCCAUGGUGUUUAUCAUAGCAACAGAGAGGUAAUUAAUACAGAUCCCUACCACAAAUCACACACUUGAGAUGCACCAGGGGUUUAAAUAUAGUUAAAAAUCUUAUAAACAACUAGAAACCUAUAGGGUGGUUAAAAACAAAAGAAAACAAAAGCAGAAACUUGGGGGAAAAGAGUGACCUGUUAGAUUAUAGGAAAACGUUGAACUUUUAAGGGAUUAAAAUAAACCAUAAACUAAAUAAAAAAGAAAGAAUGUAAGAAACAAUCCGUGAAAAACUAUUUGCAACACAAACCUAAGAGUGGUGUUUUGUAACCUCUCACCCAUCAGUAAGAUGCAGUUUACUGCCUCAGCCUGUUCCCCAGCCACUGAUGGGGUCUCCAUGAGUCAGCCCAUCUGGCCAUGCUGGGAACACAUCUCCCCUAUGACCUCCAGGGAAACACAGCUGAGCAUCCUUCGAUCGUACCCUCAGGUCCCUUCUGCUCCUAGCCUCUAGCCAGCAGAGGUCUCGGGUGAGUCCUGGGUUUCUCAUCUGUCUUUGCUCACUCCUGUUCAGCUCUCAUUUAAUCCAAGGCAUUAAAUCCGACCUUUAAGUAGAAGACCAGAAAUCUGUCUCCAGCUCAAAACUGUCCCCAGAGCUACAGCCCCGUCCAUACCUCUGCAAUCCCACAGUUCCCAUGGAGCUCUGUUGGUGUCCUACCCUUUACACACACAUAGUCAGGACUGGAGCACAGGCGUAUACCACUCAGGCCCCACAAGCAGAGAGGCCCUAUGCUUGACUAAGGCUCCCCUGUCCUACAUCACUAAGAAAUUAAAUAAAAUUGCCCGAAGGGCCAUUUAUUUUCAUUUUUGCUCAGGGACUCAUACAUAGUGCAUCCCAUUCUUCCCACAGCUGGAUCCCUUCUCUACAGCUGCCCCCUUCCAUUCUGGCUACACAAUGAGCAUCCCUAAUCUCAAACUCCAAAACCCCAGACGUCUGAGCUGCUGGCAUAACGCCACAAGUAGAGAAGUCAGUAGGGUGGACGUGGACCUGGAGAUGUAGAGUACUUGUCUGGCUGCACAGAAUCUUGAACUCAAUCUCCAGCACCACACAAAUUAGCAACAGAGGUAUAUGCCUGUGAUCCUAGCACCUGGGAGUUGAAGACAGGAAGAUCAAGUCCUGAUAUUAUCCAGGCUAUCAAUGCCUCUCUCUCUCUCUCUCUCUCUCUCUCUCUCUCUCUCUCUCUCUCUCUCUCUCUCUCUCUCUCUCUGUGUCUUUAAUUAUUUCAUGUGUAAGUGUUUUGUCUUUAUGUAUUUCUGUGCACAUAUGUAUUUCUGUGUGCAUGUGUGUGCAGUAUCCUAGAGUCCAGAAGAGGGCAUCAGCUCCUUCUUGAAUUAGAGUUAUAAAUGGUUGUGAGCCACCAUGUGGGUUCUGGGAAUCAAACCCAGGUCCUCUGGAAGAGCAACCAGAGUGCUUAAGCAAUGAGCCUCCUCUCUCCUGCCCCUGCUGCCGCUCCCCACCCCAGCACUCUUGUACAUGUUAUCUUUCAUGUUCCCAUCUGGUUUUCCUCCAUGAAGGCAUAAGCUCCACGGAGAAGGUGUUUGGGUCAGUUCAGUUCGCUGCCACGUUCCUAACUAAACCAGUGUUCAACAUAAACAAGGCACCUGACAAAUAUCUACUGAUAAAUGAACAUGGGGAGAGAGAAAUGGACAGAAGGCCUGAGUGGAGCCAACUCACCAGCAGAGACCCAGAAAUGGCCAAUGGAUACAUGUAUUGUAUCAUUAGCACCCAGAGAAACAUAAAGUAGAAUCAUUUUCUCCUAUUGGGUUGGCAGGAGUGUAAGCUGCUGCUAGUGGCAGUGUCUGGGAAAGACAGCCUUGUGCACGGUCUGUGGGAGUGUGAGGCAGCCUGACCUUCCCUAAGUGUAUCUGGUUGUACAGAACAGAUCAAAUGUGCAAAUAUGCACAUCCUCUGACUUGGGUAGAGCACUUCCAAAAACAUCUUGAAGGUCUCACAGUGCAAAUGUACACAGACGAACAAACCCAGAGGUUCCUUGAGUGAGGUGUAUAAAUAGCCAAAUGCGGGAAACCACCUAAAUGGCCCCGACAGGAUUAAUAAUUGAUGAAGAAUUUACAGACCAUCUACACAAUGGAUGUGAAGGGAAGAGUUGCAUGGAUAAACAUGGGUGGUCCACAUGUUUGGCAAAAAAACAAAACAAAACAAAACAAAACAAAACAAAACUGUAAUGGAGUCACACACCUGGUAUAGCCAUGCAUUUUGGUUUUAAGAAUAUGUUUGUAAGCACAAGGGGAAAGGUCCAGAAGGACAAAUAAUCAAAUGCCUUAGCUGUGGACAGUUGGUCCCUGCGAGGAAGGGCUCCAAUGCAUGCUUUCAAUUACAGGUAGGCAGCUGGGUAGGAGACAGACUACUUUAAUGCUGGGAAGGUUCCUCCAUCUAGGAUAAGAGCAUCCUGUGCCACCUCUGGGUAAAAGGAUGCGGAAUGCCCUUCCAAGGACCAGUAGCCCUACCCUGUCUCAUCCCUGUGGCCUCUCUCCUCCAUCUCACACCUCAGACACUCUGAGCUCUUUCUAUUCCUGAUUCCCUUCACAGCUCCACGCUCGUCUGUCUCACAGCUCUGUUCACAGGCACACAGGCCCAGCUCGCCUUGCCCCAUGACCUCCUUGGCCUAGCUCUGCUGUUAAAAGCCAGAAAGAGACUUGCCUUUCUUUCUUUUCUUUUUGGUUUUUCAAGACAUCUAGCUCUGCUGUUAAAAGCCAGAAAGAGACUUGCCUUUCUUUCUUUUCUUCUUGGCUUUUCGAGACAGGGUCUCUCUGUGUCGCCUUGGCUGUCCUGGAACUCUCUCUGUAGACCAGGCUGGCCUUAAACUCAGAGAUCCGUGUGUCUCUACCUCCCAAGUGCUGGGAUUAAAGGCAUGUGCUACCGCUUCCCGGUCAAGAGUCCUGUUGCACUCUUCAGGACCAGGACUACAAUCUGAGCCUCAGAGCUCUGCCAUGGGGACAAUUUGGGGGUCAGUGACUGUGACCUAAAUAGGCCAACUGCCUCUAGUUGCAAGCUAGCCAGAGUAGGGAACAAUGGUAUAGAUAGACCAUACCUGGGACUGAGAAAACACUCCCAUCAAGGAAGGAGCCCUUCUGAGAACUGGGAACUUCCAGGUAAGAGAGCUGUCAGGUGGCUGUGGUACCAAGCAUUUGCAAGCCAGAGUGACAGCAGGAGAUGUGCAGGAGCUGAGCCUCCAGUGGUAGGGUACUUGGCAGGUGUGCAUGUCGUCUAGAUCUGGAGAACCAAGCUGGGCCUCUCUGAACAAGCACUUGCUGCAGUGACAUAGAGUCCUUGAUUGG
Molecule: long non-coding RNA, 5093 nt
Organism: Mus musculus (house mouse)
Lineage: Eukaryota; Metazoa; Chordata; Mammalia; Rodentia; Muridae
Product: predicted gene, 31642
Exons: 3
Source: RefSeq, a predicted model, not a curated record